Long non-coding RNA from Chiroxiphia lanceolata (lance-tailed manakin), 7322 nucleotides. RefSeq lists it as uncharacterized. The transcript has 3 exons. Lineage: Eukaryota; Metazoa; Chordata; Aves; Passeriformes; Pipridae. The record is from RefSeq and is a predicted model, not a curated record.
UCCGAGCGCCACCGGCGCGGGAAUGGCGGGGGGACGCCGUUACCUUCGCUCUUGCCCAGGAUGCGGCAGCAGAGGUUCUGCAGCAGAACGUUGGGGGAUUUUUGGUCCGGAGUCGCCAUCGCCGCGCGGGAGGCAGGAGGAGGUGCGGGGCAGAGGGAGCGGGCGGCAGGGCCGGAGGCACGGCGGAACGGCGGAGGGAAGUAGGGAGAGAGACGAGGACGCGCCGCCCGCUCGGCAGCGCAGGGACCCGGCAACACCUCCCGUUCCUGCCGCCGCCUACGGCGCCAUUUUAACGGGACCCGCCGAACGCCGCAGCGGCGGCCACAGCGCCCACAAUGCCCCGCGCGCCCGGAGCGCUCCGCGCGGCGGUUCCGGGGCAGGCACCGCCCAGGAACGUCCCCCGAAUUCCCCGGAAUGGAAGUAGAACGUUCCCGUUCUGCAACAUCUUUCCGUUCUUGGAAAACGCCCUCUCACCUGUCCCUCAAAAAUUCUGAUGUCACAUUCCACCAAAGCAAAAAUUCACUUCAACGUAAAGCUUUAACAAGUGGAGAAGGUGGAGGCCUUCUGAGGCCGUCACGGGCAAAAGAGAAAACAAUCCUUGAUGAAGGGUUUACAGAGGACUUAAGGCAUGGGAUUGCACAGUGUAGACACGGAUGCAGAGUAAGCCCACAACUGCAUGGCAAGGAUUAUUGUACUGCCUUAUAGAGACACUAAGAGACAACUAAAUAUGUGAUCAAAUAAGCAAACAAAUCAGAAUCCAGUCCAGGAAACUGUGGAGAUAAAAUCGACAAGUGCAUGAGAGGCCAUGAUGCUGUGAAGCAUGCCAAAGGAACUAUGUCGAAUCAAAAAGGCACAAUGUCACACUAGGGAGAACAAGACGAGGUGUGCAGGACACCUGCUUUCACUGCUGUGCUGCACGAGAGCCUGAGGUUGAGACUAUGACCUUUGGGACACCCUGCAAGAUUCAGCUGCUUACCCAACCCUUUUCUGCAGGUGUGAGGAAGGGUCGUAUGAUUUAUUGCAUAUGUUUUGUUGAAGUUAGUAAUUUUCUGGAGUGUGUAGUUCACCCACUGGAUGAAAUGGAUCUAUGAAAAGUCAAAGAUUAUCAUCGUUUUCAGAUUCAAGUUCAGAUUUACAAGUUCUAUCUUGUAAUUUAUAGCUUCUAUUUUUUCACUAAAGAUAGAAACCACAACUGCAUUUUAUAACCUUUGGGCUAUUAUACAAAAAUUUCUUUCUGUCUUAUAUCUUUUUGUACAUACUUCUUAGAAACAUGAAUACACUUGUGGAAAAAUCUCGAUAAUAUAUUGGAAUAUAAUUGGUAGGAUCAUACUUAAUAUAUUCAUAUUUUUACUAAUAAUAGAAGUGAUUUUGAAUAAAAAGUAGAGAAUUCAGUUGGCUGCUGUUACUUACACUAAUAUCUAUUAAAAAUGCUCAUAAUUCUAGAAAAAUCAUAAAGCUUAAGACAAGGAAAUUAAUACAAAUAUCUAAUAUAAAAAUGCAUUAUUUAUGAUACACUAUAUUUUUCCUAUUUUGGAAGUAUAUCAUCCAUUCAGGAGGCAAAGUACAUAGCUUAGAUGAUUAGUAACAUAUGCAAGCGAAUUCAUAUCAAGAUAUAGAGUAAAAGAAUAUUCAUAUACUAAACAUGAAUACUAAAGAAAGUCUUUUGAUAUUACAGCAAGAUGAUCAGGAGCUUCCAGAGAUCAUUACAGGAAUGCACUAAGAAACAGCUUCAUUAACUCUACAAUAUAAAAAAUUAACAUUCAUUUUGGAUAGAUAUUUUUCACCAUUAUUCAACUCAACCAGAUCAUACAUUUUUGAAGACACAAGCAUAUUUAACUCGAACAUUUCACAUAGAAUUAAAUGUGCAUGUCACUUAAAGAGUCCUUAAAACAUCUAAUGUCAGUAUAACGAGAUCCAUUUUAGGCACAGCUGUCAGCUAAACAAAGCAAUCAAAAUUAUUGACAAUUUACUUUGUAGGUCAUGCAAGUUCAUUUUCCGUUGACUUUGUUGCCAUCUGUGCAUGGUUGCUGCUUUUUUUUUCCAGAAUAGGUUUGUUCUGUUCCAAUGUCUUCCGUGCUGUAAGAUGCCAUCGUAGAGCUUCGGUGUUCAUUCCAGUAAACAGAUUCCUCUGGCUCAAUAACACUUUUCUCUUAGUUUGUUUGAUGAGGCCGAGGUCAGGAAACAAAAGGAUUUUGUUCUCCCGAUACUGGAUAUUGCAUUGCUAGAGUUGCUUUCAGCAGUCUAUCCAGUUCUCCUAUUUCAAACUUAGAUGAAAUAAAAACACUCCCACUGUCAUUCGCAGUCAUGUUGUCCUCUCUGGUAUUCUACAGCAUUUUUCCACACAAAAUACGUUCUUCCCUGGUAUUAAUUUCCAAAAGUUCAGUAGGAGUUUUAAUAAUAAAUGAAAUAGGAUCUGUCUGGCCUGUACCAGAGUGGAAACAAAGGUUGUGCAGAACUUCAGAACUCGUUUGGUUUUUGGUUGCUUCCUCCCUUUUGUCUAGUGACACAUAUUUCACAAAGGAAUACAGACACCUCAGACACCUUCUCCACCUUCAGCCCAUGAAAUUUUAAAGGCACUUUUAGGCUCUUUACCUCCUCUUAUCAUGGAAAGAGAAGCUCUCAGGAAAGAAGUAGAACAGACAGAACAGAAACUAUUUCUCUAUCUUUCCAUAAUGUGCCCACAUUCAGUGGUAUCUGAACUCAGAGCUCCAGAGUGGGCACAUGCUUCCGAUACAGCCCAGACCAUACCACAGCCCCAGUCUGUACUCAUUCUGUAGCUCUCUGUGAUGUCUGGUUUGCCAAGCACUUUUUUUAAAAUUAUGUAUUCGGAAGCAGUUAUUUUUAUACCAGGAAUCUUUACCAAAAAACUGCCUAAUAGGAUAGAAAAACCCCAGACUUUCACCAGUGAUGCACAAAAUUAAAUCUAUAAUAAUUUUAAACAAAAUUUUAAUGAUAUUUCCUAUACUUAAAAGACAUAGCUUAAUGCUAACUGAAAACAAAACAAAACCAGUCAAAGGCAACACCAUCAACCACAGCAUUUGUACUUUCCUUUAAUUUUUCAAACAUUUGACAAUAAAGAGCCAUCACGAUGUAAUACUUAGUUUCUCUUGACAAAUACCAUCUUUUUUUCCCAUUACAGUUUGACAAUGGAUUACUGUGCUCUCUGCUGCAAGUAAUCAUUUACUAUAUUCUUCUAUCAGGUGAUUGCAAGCAAACCCUUCCUUAAAAUUCAUGCCAGGAAUUCUGGCCAGAAAAGCGUCUGUAGCAAUGCUGCCAGGUUUAGCUCUGUGCUAGGAGAACUGUGCAAGGCAGAGAAUGCAUUGCAUGCAUUGAGGAACAGCUACAUGCACCUCAGUGGAGUUCACAGACGCGUGUAGGUGGUCUGUAUCUAGACAGCACAGGCAUUAUCACAGGGACCUUCAGUAGCCACACUCCCCCUUCCCACAGGCUAAGCACCGGUCACAUCCCAAACUGCUGACACAGUUGAGGCCUCCUGACAGCAAACUUCCUUUACAUUCAGUGAGCCUGCUGUACAUCCGGACAAUCUGCCGUGUGUAUGUUUCUGCUGCAACAUCUGUUGUUCAUGAUGCAAUCAGGACAAAACAAAUUUAAAUUAAUAUUUAAAAUAAUCCAUUACCUUUAUUUUCAAAAAUUUUAGCAAAACAUGUAUUUUUGUUUAAGCUUUUAAUGACAAAAGAGAUUCAUAAUCUUAUGUUCCCCUGCAGGCAAAGACUUACUGGCUAAAAAGCAUCCCUGGCUUCCAAUUGGAGAAGUAGGCAGGAAAGAGAGGAACAUUUUAAUUCCCUUUUGUAAAAUACUGUGUCCUUGUGUUAGUCUUGAGAUCUGCAAAGUAGUUGAAUAUGUCCUUUAAGACCAUCACCUUCUCUAUCACAAGAUUCAUUGUCUCUCUCCUUAAUCUCUACAGUUGAGGUAGUGUUAAACUUUUAUGUUCAUCAGUAUAUAAAAAUGUCGGUUGAUUAAUAAUAAUUUAAUUUCUCAGAAACCAAAAAGCACAACAGAAGCCUUUUUUCUUUCCAAAACCUUUCUUUUGACAUGCAUUCUAACCCAUAGCAUAAAAGUCUCAGCAUCCAACAUCACUAGAAAUGUACUUCUUUUCACAUGAAUUUUCAGACUGUUGUGCUGAAUAACGUAGGUGAAAUGUUAUUUUAAGAUCUGAAAAUUUAAUGUUCUGAACAGUAGUUGUGUGCAUGCAUGAGAAAAAGCAAAAAAGUUGACCUAUAAAAAUACCAUUACAGAUAAAAGCUCAGGAAGACAUUCUUUUGUCAGAUUCUCCCUGUAAAAAUCAGAAUACAGUUUUCUGAAUAUGUAUUAUUUUAUUAUUUUAAUUAUUUGUAUAUACUUGAUUUGUUUCACUAAUAGGAAAAGUAGGCAAGAAUAUGGACAAAGAAUUAAAAGACCUUUAAUUAGAGGUCAUGGACCAGUUUUGAUGACUCAAACGCAAGAUGAGGAAGUUUAUUUACUUUUAGGGAGAGUUUCUCAUUCACAUAUUUGACAGCCAUCUUUAUAAAAUCCUUGGCCAUUUUCCUAGGAAUGUACAACUGCUGCCACAAAGACUCUAGGUACAUAUCACACAAGUUGAUUUUAACUUUUUAUGGCACUGAGACUCUACCUCAUGUUGUUUCACCAUCUUCAUUCGAUCCUAAAUCAACUCCAUGUACUUCAGCAUAGGUUUUAUCCCUUAUGCAAAUGAAGGAUAGGGGUCAUUUUGUUUGAUUAGAGUUCUGCUGUAACCUACUCCUCCUGUAAGGAGUACCACUGAAGAUAUAUAAGUGUCAUGGAGUCUCCACUUCCAUUCCUGUCCUUACAGAUGUUUGUGGCCCUUGGUGCUCCCUGACAGUACUGAUUAGGCUUUGGUAGAACAGCACCACAGUUACUCCAAGGACAGUGAGAAUGCUUGCAAAACUGAUUCUGAAUUAUAUGCUUGCAUUUGCUGGGAAUUCUUUAGAAAACAAACUUGGAGCAGACAGAAAGACAUCCCCAUCACCCCAGCUUUAUGAAAACAACAACACACAAUAUCAACCACAUAGAUAUUGUAUUUCUGGGAUUCCUAAAAAGUGCUUGGCUGGUAAACUACAGUCAUGCUUUUGUCUUGUCAGAGCUAAGACAAAACUAGGAGAAGUAUCAUUAGGCUCUAAUUGAAAAUUAAAAGUGUUUUGAGUAAAUUGAAGCAUUGCUUUGGAUAGGCUUUAACUGUCAUGAUGUGGCUAUGGUAGAAAUGUUGUAAAGGUUUUUUUUCAUCAUUGUGAUGAAGGCUGACAGUACUAAUGGGGUAGGCUGUGAGAAGAAAGGACUUAAAAGUCCUUUAGCCCAUUCCAGUAAAUCUGCCUCUGACAGAUGAUGAACAAUCUCUGACUUAAAGAAUUAAUAAAGCAUGCUGUAAAAAUGCUUGUGUAUUUAUGACAUGCCUAUUUGCAUCUGCAAACUGAGUAAAGUCAAAUAAGUACUCAAACUGCCAAGAGAAGAACAUUUGCUUAAGUCUCAUUUUGAAAUAUAUCUGAAAACAGUCAGUACCAGUUAGGAUUUCUUAACUGCCAGGGGUGACAGGUACCUAUUAUUGAUGGAGAAGAUGAACUGUGGCAGAACCAUCUCUUAAUAUGGAAACACUGAUCCAAAUUCCAUUCAUUUAGAAUGAGAAUUGCUCAUACAAAAUGAAAAUGUCCUGUUCCAGCUGCUUCAGGUCUGAAACUAAUAAGAAAGAUUCUGCAUUAAAUUAAUUUUGAACAUCUUCCUAUGACUAUUAUGACAGUAUUUUGGAAGAACAUAUAUCUAUUUGAUAUAUUUUGGAAGACAACAUACUAAAUCCUCUUCUGAAAUAAGUAUUCCUUUCUGUCUUGGCCCCACGCACACGUGCACACACACACAGACACACAACUCUGAGGCAGUUACAUUACUCAGAAAUACUUACCUCAGUCUAAAAAUACACAGGACAAAAUCUAUCAGUGAGAAUAACUGUAUUUUAUUAUUAGAAUCUAGAGAAAAAUGUAAUGCAUAUUACAUAGUUUUUCUGCAUGAUAAUCUGGCAGAAAUUUUAGUUUUCUGUCCUAAAAUGAAAACUAACAAUUCUUAAAUUUGGAAUAUUUUAAUAUUGUAAUGCAUCAAGGUUAACUUAGCUUAACAUUGGUACAAUUACACUUUCUGAAUGACCUUAUUUAAGAUCACUGUAAAUGUGGUGAAACAAGUUGUCAGCUCAGCACAGAUGUCUCGUAAGACAAGGUGAAAAUUCCCCACAGGACCAUGUUGUUCUUUUCCACUAAAGGAAAAUUUCUGUCACGGGAGUAAGUCCCUGCAGGAGUUUCCCCAGGUAAAAUACUUUAUACCCUUUUCUGAUGGAAUAGCAGUACUGCAGGUUCUAGCUCAGUUUCCACAGGAGUUUGUGGAGCCCCACAGAGAUCCUGCACUUUUAUAAGAGCUGUAUGCCUUCUUGUUGCUCUUCUACUCCUUCCUACCUAGAAACACAUUUAAAAGUACCAGCUAUCCACUAUAGGUAUCUGCAUAAAUGCAUGCCUUUAAAAAAUUCCCAGUGUGGAAAAGAUAUCAGAGGAAAAAAAUACAGCAUAUGGUAAUUUUACACAUCGUUCUCCACUGUGUAGUGGGAAAAAGGUAAAACACAUUCUAUUUCUCCUCUAAAAUUAUAUUAUAAUGAUAAAAUGUUUUGCAAAAUAAAGAUCAAUUCAAGGAGUUAAUUUAGACUUUGAAAAACUGCAUUUAGUCACUUAUGCAAUUCUUGUCCAGUUAGUCCUUCAUAAUGUCUUGAGAUUCAGUUAUUUAUAUUGGAUCUAAUUGUCAACAGAUGAGUAGCAAAGCAGCCAUAUUUCAAAGAAGAAAAUCUACAAAUUCAAUAUACAGGAUUAUUUUAUAGUCCUACCGUUCCAUGUCAGCAAAUUGAAAGCAUGUCACUGAAUUUAUUGAACUGAAAUGAGGAUGGCCAUAACUAUGGCAAUUGUUGUGCUUAAAAGUUCUAACAAAGAGGGGGUACCCCUUCUGGCCCUGUUGCCUUAGAAAAUCUACAUUUCUUCCAAAGGGCUUCUGAUCCUGCAAAGUGCUAUCUGAGUGCUCAAAUUAUGUUAAUUGGAUUUAUUCAUGUACUAAACAGAGAAAUGUGUAAGAAGGGAAAAAAGAACCAUAUUAUGUGAAUAAAAAAUUAAUAUCAAGAUUAGUGGUGGCUUUCAUUAGUAGCAUGUGUUAAAUUAUUUUAAGCAGAGCUAUGUCUUGAACACUUAAUUUAAUUCCUCCUCUACAUUACAUUUAUGGUUUCCUAAUUACCUUCAUACAAAGGCAUUGCAAAGGUCAGUUGAGAUGCU